GACGAACGCUGGCGGCGUGGAUUAGGCAUGCAAGUCGAACGGUAUCAUCCUUUCGGGGGUGAGAGAGUGGCGAACUGGUGAGUAACACGUAGGUUAUCUACCCUCAAGACGGGGACAACCCAGGGAAACUUGGGCUAAUACCGGAUGUGAGCAACUUUUAGUUGUUUGAAAGGUGGCGUAAGCUGUCGCUUGGGGAUGAGCCUGCGUCCUAUUAGUUAGUUGGUGAGGUAACGGCUCACCUAGGCAAUGAUAGGUAGGCGGCCUUAACGGGUGGUCGCCCACACUGGGAUUGAGAUACGGCCCAGACUCCUACGGGAGGCAGCAGUCGAGAAUAGUCUACAAUGGUCGGAAGACUGAUAGUGCGACGCCGCGUGAACGAUGAAUCCCUUCGGGGUGUAAAGUUCUUUUAUAUGUGAGCGAGUGCUUCUUAUAUUAACAGUAUGGGGAAGAGAUAUUAGCAUAUGAAUAAGCAACGGCUAACUCCGUGCCAGCAGCCGCGGU
This 501-nucleotide ribosomal RNA is filed under the name uncultured bacterium. RNAcentral's name for it is "bacterial SSU rRNA". It matches the Rfam family "Bacterial small subunit ribosomal RNA", at positions 28 to 521 of the family's 1533-position model. The record is from RNAcentral.